RNAcentral lists this ribosomal RNA (2182 nucleotides) under freshwater metagenome. Its description in RNAcentral is "bacterial LSU rRNA". It matches the Rfam family "Bacterial large subunit ribosomal RNA", at positions 398 to 2567 of the family's 2925-position model. The record is from RNAcentral.
GGCCGGUAUCCAGAGUACCACGAGACACGUGAAACCUUGUGGGAAGCCGGGUGGACCACCAUCCAAGGCAAAAUACUACUUAACGACCGAUAGCGCAUAGUACCGUGAGGGAAAGGUGAAAAGAACCCCGGGAGGGGAGUGAAAUAGAACCUGAAACCGUAUGUCUACAAGCAGUCGAAGCACUUUAUAUGUGCAACGGCGUGCCUAUUGAAGAAUGAACCGGCGAGUUAUUUUUGUUAGCGAGGUUAAGCGGAAAACGCGGAGCCGAAGCGAGAGCGAGUCUGAAUAGGGCGGCAGUUAGCAGGAAUAGACCCGAAACCACAGUGAUCUAUCCAUGACCAGGUUGAAGCUCAGGUAAAAUUGAGUGGAGGACCGAACCCGUGAGUGUUGAAAAACUUUGGGAUGAGUUGUGGAUAGGGGUGAAAUGCCAAUCGAACGUGGAGAUAGCUGGUUCUCCCCGAAAUAGCUUUAGGGCUAGCCUCAAGUAUAAAUACAGACGGUAGAGCACUGAUCGGGCUAGGGGGCGUAAAGCCUACCGAACCCAGUCAAACUGCGAAUGGCUGUAAUGCUGAGCUUGGGAGUCAGACUGCGAGUGAUAAGACCCGUAGUCAAGAGGGAAACAGCCCAGAACGCCAACUAAGGUCCCUAAUGCUGUACUAAGUGGUAAAGGAUGUAGAAUUUCGAAAACAACCAGGAUGUUGGCUUAGAAGCAGCCACCAUUAAAAGAGUGCGUAAUAGCUCACUGGUCGAGAGGUUCUGCGCCGAAAAUGACCGGGGCUCAAGUACAGAACCGAAGUUGCGUCAAUGUACCUAGUACAUUGGGUAGGGGAGCGUUCCAUACACGACGAAGGUAUACCGUAAGGAGUGCUGGAGAGUAUGGAAGUGAGAAUGCCGGUAUGAGUAGCGAAAAGAACAGUGAGAAUCUGUUCCACCGAAAGCCUAAGGUUUCCUGAGCAACGCUCGUCGUCUCAGGGUAAGUCGGGACCUAAGCCGAGGCAAAAAGCGUAGGCGAUGGACAACAGGCUAAAAUUCCUGUACCACUUACAAUCGUUAUGAGCAAUGGAGUGACACAGUAGGGAGCUUGAGCGCGCGACUGGAAGAGCGCGUCGAAGCCGGUAGGGUGGCAUAUAGUUAAAUGCGUAUGCUGAGACCUGAGAAGUGAUAGAUAGAUGAGUCUUCGGACGAGUCAAAUUUGAGCGAACCACACUGUCGAGAAAAGCUUCUAGCCAGAAAGUAAGUGCCCGUACCGCAAACCGACACAGGUAGGCGGGGAGAGAAUCCUAAGGUGCGCGGGAAAACCCUUGUUAAGGAACUCGGCAAAAUGUAUCCGUAACUUCGGGAAAAGGAUAGCCUGAAUUUGUGAAGACCCAUGCGGUCAGAGCGAAGGCAGGCGACAGAAGAGAGGCCCAAGCGACUGUUUACCAUAAACACAGGUGCUUGCUAAAGAGAAAUCUGACGUAUAAGUGCUGACACCUGCCCGGUGCUGGAAGGUUAAGAGGAGGAGUUAGGAGCAAUCCGAAGCCCUGAAUUGAAGCCCCAGUAAACGGCGGCCGUAACUAUAACGGUCCUAAGGUAGCGAAAUUCCUUGUCGGGUAAGUUCCGACCCGCACGAAAGGUGUAACGACUUGGGCACUGUCUCAACAAGGGACCCGGUGAAAUUGAAAUACCUGUGAAGAUGCAGGUUACCCGCGACUGGACAGAAAGACCCCAUGGAGCUUUACUGCAACCUGAUAUUGAUUUUCGGUAAAUAAUGUACAGGAUAGGUGGGAGACUAAGAAGAGAGGACGCAAGUCUUUUUGGAGUCAACCUUGGGAUACCACCCUUUAUUUACUGGAAAUCUAACUGAAGAAGUAACGAAACUCAAGACAGUGUCAGGCGGGCAGUUUGACUGGGGCGGUCGCCUCCCAAAAUGUAACGGAGGCGCCCAAAGGUUCCCUCAGCGCGGACAGAAAUCGCGCGAAGAGUGUAAAGGCAGAAGGGAGCUUAACUGCGAGUCAGACACGACGAGCAGGUACGAAAGUAGGGCUUAGUGAUCCGGUGGUACCGAGUGGAAGGGCCAUCGCUCAACGGAUAAAAGCUACCCUGGGGAUAACAGGCUAAUCUCUCCCAAGAGUCCAUAUCGACGGGGAGGUUUGGCACCUCGAUGUCGGCUCAUCACAUCCUGGGGCUGAAGCAGGUCCCA